Molecule: ribosomal RNA, 391 nt
Filed under: Klebsiella pneumoniae
Lineage: Bacteria; Pseudomonadati; Pseudomonadota; Gammaproteobacteria; Enterobacterales; Enterobacteriaceae
Description: bacterial SSU rRNA
Rfam family: Bacterial small subunit ribosomal RNA
Source: RNAcentral
CAGGCCUAACACAUGCAAGUCGAGCGGUAGCACAGAGAGCUUGCUCUCGGGUGACGAGCGGCGGACGGGUGAGUAAUGUCUGGGAAACUGCCUGAUGGAGGGGGAUAACUACUGGAAACGGUAGCUAAUACCGCAUAAUGUCGCAAGACCAAAGUGGGGGACCUUCGGGCCUCAUGCCAUCAGAUGUGCCCAGAUGGGAUUAGCUAGUAGGUGGGGUAACGGCUCACCUAGGCGACGAUCCCUAGCUGGUCUGAGAGGAUGACCAGCCACACUGGAACUGAGACACGGUCCAGACUCCUACGGGAGGCAGCAGUGGGGAAUAUUGCACAAUGGGCGCAAGCCUGAUGCAGCCAUGCCGCGUGUGUGAAGAAGGCCUUCGGGUUGUAAAGCA